Molecule: long non-coding RNA, 1982 nt
Organism: Canis lupus familiaris (dog)
Lineage: Eukaryota; Metazoa; Chordata; Mammalia; Carnivora; Canidae
Exons: 3
Source: RefSeq, a predicted model, not a curated record
GAAAAGUAGUCCGACUCGGCUUCCAGGUUAAGUUCGCCCCCCCUCGCCCGCCGGCGCCCCUCGUCCUCGGGAACUCUGAAUCGCACGGAGUCCCACAAACACCCCGAAACUUGAAGUCGCGGCCGCCCCUGUCAUCAGGUGUCCCGCGUCCCGGAGAGGCGUGGGAAUCAAAGACUACACCUCCCAGCGGCCCCCGCGCGUCUCAGUGCGCAGGCGUAGCCGCGCCUAGCUCCCCUCCCCCCUCCUCCAACUGCUCCCCUCGGUCCGUUCCCGUAUUCCCCCCAUCAGUUCUAAUGUCCCCUCUGCCUCUCCGGCUCUUCACACUCACCGCGGACUCGCGGCGUCGGGUACAGCCGCUGCGCCUUCUCCAGGAAGCGGAGCGCCCGGUCGGGCUGGUUGCUCUGGAUGGCCUUGAGGGCGAUGCUAAUACAGCGCUCGGCUUCAUCCUUGUUGGAUUCCAUGGCGGAACCAGAGCGCGGAACCAGGGAGGGGGAGGCCGGGCGAGCGGAGGGCUGCGCCAGCCGCCGGCACGUCGCGGGGCAGGCGGGCGCAGGGUGAUGACACAAACCCCCUCGCCCCUCCUUUCCCGAGAUUUGAGCGAGAGUUGAGCGAGGGCGGAAGUGCUACCGUAUGUCUCCUAAGAGGGGCGCGGCUAGGAGAGGUAUUGCCGAGGGUGCGUGCCCAACCAUCCUGGGUCAUGCUGGGGCCCCUGAAGUGGACCAUGUGCUUGCGCGUUCUUGGAAGUGACUCUGUGGCCUUGAGCCGAAGGUCAUUUAUCGAUUUCGUCCAACAGGCAUUUGCCAGGCUGGGUGUGCGCAGUGGAGUGGAGCGGAAGGAAGGAAAGGACUGCAAGUAAGUAAGUGAGAUGGAGUUAGAUUUCCAUUUUGGAUGGAUUUCUCUGGCUGGAUAUGGGGAUAGGACAAGAGAACCACAUAACUGGAAUACAGGAAUCAAUCGGGAAGACUACUGCCAUAGUCCAGCAUUCAACCUUUCACUUGGCCUCAGUCACCUCUAUGUAUUCACCACAGCGCCCCCAAGGUUGGCAGAUACAAGUACCAGAGCAAGGCAGAGAUGCAAGGAGGGGAUGCAGGAGAGAAACUGCUUGGAGUCACCAGACUCUGAGCUUUGCUCUGGCUCCACCACCCAUUUGCUGGGUGACCCUGAUGAAGUCUCUUGAAAUCGCUUUAAAUUUAAUUUUUUCAUAUUCAUAUGAGGGGAUGCCACAAAAUAACUGUUGAGGGGCUUAGCAGUCCAAAGAACAGUUUGUUGGUGUUUUUGAGAAUCUGAGGGUGGAGGUAUACAGAGACAGCUGAGGAUCUCUAUGACAAAGGGUAUAGGAAAGUCGUAUUGGCCACAAGUUAGGCUAUGCCUUAGUGUUCACAGCCUCUGGCUUGAGGGGGACGGCUGCCCAGGAGGGCAAGAAGAGCCAAUUUUCUCACCCACACCCAGGAUGUUAGUUAGGGUGAAGGAGGAAUCAAGAUCCCUUGGAACUUCAAGACUUCAGCAGAAGGUAUUUCAGCGGAUGUUCAUGAGAUGUGGUUAACUGCCGACAGGGGAGCUGGAGAAUCUGCACAACUGCAGAAGUUCUGGGGUUUAAAAACUUUGCCUUGUAGGUCUAGAUACUUGAUUUUCUCUGCUGGCCCAGGAAGAACUGAUUCCUGCUAACUAAACUGCCCAAGGAAGGAACAGAAAUCAGCAUGCCAAUUUACAACAAGAAUAGUAACUGUUAAGAGAACUAAAAUGGUAACAGCUGGUUAUUAUACUUCUCAGUUGGAAAAUCUAACUAAGGAAAUUCAAUUCAUCUCAGAAGAUUGCUCAGUGCAAACAGAAUCGGAUCAGAAGGAACUGGAUGCCUCAGACUGUGAUAGAACUAUCCUUUGCAGUCACAGAAUAUGUUCUGAGAAGUGGAUUAAAACCGGCUUUGUAUUCGAUAAACAGUCGCUUUGUUAUUAACCAUUCCUUUGUCUGCAUUUCACAUCAAU